This 440-nucleotide ribosomal RNA is filed under the name uncultured bacterium. RNAcentral describes it as "bacterial SSU rRNA". It matches the Rfam family "Bacterial small subunit ribosomal RNA", at positions 338 to 795 of the family's 1533-position model. The record is from RNAcentral.
CCUACGGGGGGCUGCAGUGGGGAAUAUUGCACAAUGGGCGAAAGCCUGAUGCAGCAACGCCGCGUGAGCGAUGAAGGUCUUCGGGUCGUAAAGCUCUGUCCUAAGGGAAGAAUACUGACGGUACCUUAGGAGGAAGCCCCGGCUAACUACGUGCCAGCAGCCGCGGUAAUACGUAGGGGGCUAGCGUUAUCCGGCAUUACUGGACGUAAAGGGUGCGUAGGCGGACCUUCAAGUCAGAGGUGAAAGGCUACGGCUCAACCGUAGUAAGCCUUUGAAACUGUAGGGCUUGAGUGCAGGAGAGGAGAGUGGAAAGCCAAGAGAAGGGGUGAAAUGCGUAGAUAUUGGGAGGAACACCAGUUGCGAAGGCGGCUCUCUGGAAUGUAACUGACGCUGAGGCACGAAAGGGUGGGGAGCGAACAGGAUUAGAUACCCUUGUAGUC